CCCUUAGAUGUUCUGGGCGGCCCGCGCACUACAAUGGCGCUUUCAGCGAGUUCCUAUGUUGAAUUUUCCUGGGUAUUCUCGGAAGCGGCGUCUUGACUUGGGAUAGAUCCUUGUAAUUGUUGGUUUUGAACGAGGAAUUCCUUGUAAUCGCGGUUGAUCAGCUCGCGUUGAAUACGUCCCUGCCCUUUGUACACACCGCCCGUCGCUCCUACCGAUGAAUCGUCCGGUGAAGUUCACAGAGUGGCGGUUCGUGGAGUUGCUCGCGAAGUGAAAUGGACCUCACGAUUUGGAGGAAGGAGAAGUCGUAACA
RNAcentral lists this ribosomal RNA (310 nucleotides) under uncultured eukaryote. RNAcentral's name for it is "partial 18S ribosomal RNA". It matches the Rfam family "Eukaryotic small subunit ribosomal RNA", at positions 1470 to 1796 of the family's 1831-position model. The record is from RNAcentral.